GGUUUGAGUGCUUGUCCGUCUCCACAGAUGACUCCAACUUUACAUCUUAAAAUGCAUAUUUCUCUCCAGCAAUCCAUCCAAACAAAGAUCUGCCCAGGUGUGCUGCAUCACAUAAUGAGGUGCACUGCACCCGGCAUGGAGGAGGUGCUUCAGAGCUCCUGUGCCAGCAGUAGAGGAGAGAGGCCUCUGGAGUGGAGACUGCUGGCCUGCUGCCUCUCAGCCUGGGAUUCUUGUUGGGAUCGUCCCUGGAUGCCUCCCUGUGGGCGCAUUUCACGCUCGGCCAGCUGGGAGGACACCACGAGGCAGAACCAGGAUACGCUGCAGGGAUCACAUCUCCCAGCUGACCGGGGAGCACUAAGGGGAAGAUACUGCUGCAGAGAGAAGGUGUCCGGUGCUAAUUUCUCUAAUUUGCUACGCCAUGAAUGAAUGGAUGCUCACUGGAUCAGCGGAUAGAGGAAAAUUUUACCCAAGGUGGAAAACACAUUCCAGUUUUUGAAUUGUCAGAGUUCAGUGUAUGUGACCAUCAUGCUCUAUCACAAAUUUUGAAUUUCAGCCUGUUUCUAUGGGUGCAAAUAGAAAAUAUAUAUGUAUACUGAGGGUUCAGCUCAAGAUCCCAAAGUAGGGGAGGUAUCUUCAUAAGCCAUUUUUGGCUUCUAACC
Long non-coding RNA from Epinephelus lanceolatus (giant grouper), 659 nucleotides. RefSeq lists it as uncharacterized. Lineage: Eukaryota; Metazoa; Chordata; Actinopteri; Perciformes; Serranidae. The record is from RefSeq and is a predicted model, not a curated record.